UUGCUCACUUCUGCAGUACAUAUACUAAAAUUGGAACGAUACAGAGAUUAGCAUAGCCCCUAUGCAGGCAUGACAUGCAAAUUCAUGAAGUGUUCCAUAUAAAA
Small nuclear RNA from Sorex fumeus (smoky shrew), 104 nucleotides. The record is from RefSeq and is a predicted model, not a curated record. NCBI's taxonomy places the organism in Eukaryota, Metazoa, Chordata, Mammalia, Eulipotyphla, Soricidae.